AGUGAACGCUGGCGGUAGGCCUAACACAUGCAAGUCGAACGGCAGCACAGUAAGAGCUUGCUCUUACGGGUGGCGAGUGGCGGACGGGUGAGGAAUACAUCGGAAUCUACUUUUUCGUGGGGGAUAACGUAGGGAAACUUACGCUAAUACCGCAUACGACCUACGGGUGAAAGCAGGGGAUCUUCGGACCUUGCGCGAUUGAAUGAGCCGAUGUCGGAUUAGCUAGUUGGCGGGGUAAAGGCCCACCAAGGCGACGAUCCGUAGCUGGUCUGAGAGGAUGAUCAGCCACACUGGAACUGAGAAACGGUCCAGACUCCUACGGGAGGCAGCAGUGGGGAAUAUUGGACAAUGGGCGCAAGCCUGAUCCAGCCAUACCGCGUGGGUGAAGAAGGCCUUCGGGUUGUAAAGCCCUUUUGUUGGGAAAGAAAAGCAGCAGGUUAAUACCCCGCUGUUCCGACGGUACCCAAAGAAUAAGCACCGGCUAACUUCGUG
RNAcentral lists this ribosomal RNA (492 nucleotides) under uncultured bacterium. RNAcentral describes it as "partial 16S ribosomal RNA". It matches the Rfam family "Bacterial small subunit ribosomal RNA", at positions 29 to 507 of the family's 1533-position model. The record is from RNAcentral.